Molecule: ribosomal RNA, 500 nt
Filed under: uncultured bacterium
Lineage: Bacteria
Description: bacterial SSU rRNA
Rfam family: Bacterial small subunit ribosomal RNA
Source: RNAcentral
AAUACUCUACGGAGGAAAUCUGGCUCGCAAGAGCUGGGGCUUUAGGAGGAACCUACAUCCGAUUAGCUAGUUGGUGAGGUAAUGGCUCACCAAGGCGAUGAUCGGUAGCUGGCCUGAGAGGAUGACCAGCCACACUGGGACUGAGACACGGCCCAGACUCCUACGGGAGGCAGCAGUGGGGAAUAUUGGACAAUGGGGGAAACCCUGAUCCAGCAAUACCGCGUGGGUGAAGAAGGCCUUCGGGUUGUAAAGCCCUUUAGGCGGGGAAGAAUGUUAUAGGGUGAAUAUCCUUAUAACUUGACGGUACCCGCAGAAUAAGCACCGGCUAAUUCUGUGCCAGCAGCCCGCGGUAAUACAGAAGGUGCAAGCGUUAAUCGGAUUUAUUGGGCGUAAAGGGUGCGUAGGUGGUAAAGCAAGUAAGAUGUGAAAGCCCUGGGCUUAACCUGGGAAAGUGCAUCUUAAACUGCUUUAACUAAAGUAUGGUAAAAGGGUAGUGGGAA